RNAcentral lists this ribosomal RNA (449 nucleotides) under uncultured bacterium. Its description in RNAcentral is "bacterial SSU rRNA". It matches the Rfam family "Bacterial small subunit ribosomal RNA", at positions 355 to 796 of the family's 1533-position model. The record is from RNAcentral.
UGGGGAAUUUUGGACAAUGGGGGCAACCCUGAUCCAGCCAUGCCGCGUGCGGGAAGAAGGCCUUCGGGUUGUAAACCGCUUUUAGUCGGGAAGAAAAGGCGCGGGUGAAUAGUCCGCGUUUUUGACGGUACCGGCGGAAUAAGCACCGGCUAACUACGUGCCAGCAGCCGCGGUAAUACGUAGGGUGCGAGCGUUAAUCGGAAUUACUGGGCGUAAAGCGUGCGUAGGCGGUUCGCUGUGUCCGAUGUGAAAGCCCCGGGCUUAACCUGGGAAUGGCAUUGGAAACUGGCGGGCUUGAGUGUGGCAGAGGGGGGUGGAAUUCCGCGUGUAGCAGUGAAAUGCGUAGAGAUGCGGAGGAACACCGAUGGCGAAGGCAGCCCCCUGGGCUAACACUGACGCUCAGGCACGAAAGCGUGGGGAGCAAACAGGAUUAGAUACCCCCGUAGUCC